AGAGUUUGAUCCUGGCUCAGAACGAACGCUGGCGGCGUGGAUAAGACAUGCAAGUCGAGCGAGAUUUUUUCCUGUAGCAAUACAGGGAAAAGUCUAGCGGCGAACGGGUGCUUAACACGUGGGCAACCUGCCGAGAAGUGGGGGAUAGCUCGCCGAAAGGCGAAUUAAUACCGCAUGUGAUUAGAGAGGACAUCCUUUCGAAAUCAAAGUCGGGGCAACCUGACGCUUUUUGUGGGGCCCGCGGCCUAUCAGCUAGUUGGUGAGGUAACGGCUCACCAAGGCUUUGACGGGUAGCUGGUCUGAGAGGACGACCAGCCACACUGGGACUGAGACACGGCCCAGACACCUACGGGUGGCAGCAGUCGAGAAUUUUUCUCAAUGGGGGAAACCCUGAAGGAGCGACGCCGCGUGGAGGAUGAAGGUCUUCGGAUUGUAAACUUCUGUCAUUGGGGAACAAGGUGCAUACGUUAACUGCGUGUGCAUUGAUAGUACCCGAAGAGGAAGAGACGGCUAACUCUGUGCCAGCAGCCGCGGUAAUACAGAGGUCUCAAGCGUUGUUCGGAUUCAUUGGGCGUAAAGGGUGCGUAGGCGGCGCGGUAAGUCGGGUGUGAAAUCUUGGAGCUUAACUCCGAAACUGCAUUCGAUACUGCCGUGCUUGAGGACUGGAGAGGAGACUGGAAUUUACGGUGUAGCGGUGAAAUGCGUAGAUAUCGUAAGGAAGACCAGUGGCGAAGGCGGGUCUCUGGACAGUUCCUGACGCUGAGGCACGAAGGCCAGGGGAGCAAACGGGAUUAGAUACCCUAGUAGUCC
This 810-nucleotide ribosomal RNA is filed under the name uncultured bacterium. Its description in RNAcentral is "bacterial SSU rRNA". It matches the Rfam family "Bacterial small subunit ribosomal RNA", at positions 8 to 796 of the family's 1533-position model. The record is from RNAcentral.